AUACGGAGGGUCCAAGCGUUGUUCGGAUUUAUUGGGCGUAAAGCGAGUGUAGGCGGUUUGACAAGUCGGAUGUGAAAUCCCAGGGCCCAACCCUGGAACUGCAUCCGAUACUGUCAGGCUAGAGUCCCGGAGAGGGUGGCGGAAUUCCCGGUGUAGGGGUGAAAUCCGUAGAUAUCGGGAGGAACACCAGUGGCGAAGGCGGCCACCUGGACGGUGUCUGACGCUGAGACUCGAAAGCGUGGGUAGCAAACAGGAUUAGAAACCCCGGUAGUCC
RNAcentral lists this ribosomal RNA (274 nucleotides) under uncultured bacterium. RNAcentral's name for it is "partial 16S ribosomal RNA". It matches the Rfam family "Bacterial small subunit ribosomal RNA", at positions 523 to 796 of the family's 1533-position model. The record is from RNAcentral.